GACGAACGCUGGCGGCGUGCUUAACACAUGCAAGUCGAACGGAAAGGCCCUGCUUUUGUGGGGUGCUCGAGUGGCGAACGGGUGAGUAACACGUGAGUAACCUGCCCUUGACUUUGGGAUAACUUCAGGAAACUGGGGCUAAUACCGGAUAGGAGCUCCUGCUGCAUGGUGGGGUUUGGAAAGUUUCGGCGGUUGGGGAUGGACUCGCGGCUUAUCAGCUUGUUGGUGGGGUAGUGGCUUACCAAGGCUUUGACGGGUAGCCGGCCUGAGAGGGUGACCGGCCACAUUGGGACUGAGAUACGGCCCAGACUCCUACGGGAGGCAGCAGUGGGGAAUAUUGCACAAUGGGCGGAAGCCUGAUGCAGCAACGCCGCGUGCGGGAUGACGGCCUUCGGGUUGUAAACCGCUUUCGCCUGUGACGAAGCGUGAGUGACGGUAAUGGGUAAAGAAGCACCGGCUAACUACGUG
RNAcentral lists this ribosomal RNA (468 nucleotides) under uncultured bacterium. RNAcentral describes it as "partial 16S ribosomal RNA". It matches the Rfam family "Bacterial small subunit ribosomal RNA", at positions 28 to 507 of the family's 1533-position model. The record is from RNAcentral.